This 214-nucleotide ribosomal RNA is filed under the name Citrobacter freundii. RNAcentral describes it as "partial 23S ribosomal RNA". It matches the Rfam family "Bacterial large subunit ribosomal RNA", at positions 1422 to 1636 of the family's 2925-position model. The record is from RNAcentral. Lineage: Bacteria; Pseudomonadati; Pseudomonadota; Gammaproteobacteria; Enterobacterales; Enterobacteriaceae. RNAcentral also lists the same sequence under 2 other names.
AAACAGGUUAAUAUUCCUGUACUUGGUGUUACUGCGAAGGGGGGACGGAGAAGGCUAUGUUAGCCGGGCGACGGUUGUCCCGGUUUAAGCAUGUAGGCGGAGGUUCCAGGUAAAUCCGGUACCUUUUUAACGCUGAGGUGUGAUGACGAGGCACUACGGUGCUGAAGUAACAAAUGCCCUGCUUCCAGGAAAAGCCUCUAAGCAUCAGGUAACA